This 482-nucleotide unclassified non-coding RNA is filed under the name Zea mays. RNAcentral describes it as "misc RNA Zm00001eb265910". The record is from RNAcentral. Lineage: Eukaryota; Viridiplantae; Streptophyta; Magnoliopsida; Poales; Poaceae.
ACACGGCGAGGACCACCAUCGACGCCCCCUUCCCUGGCGAGAUCCCUCCAUCUACGUCGUGUCCCUCAGAGAUCCCCUUCCAUCUUCGUCGCCCAGAGGAAAAUGGACGGCAAUCCCAUCCAUCGGCGCCAAACCCUACCCAUCCACCAUAUUCGGCGCCCUCCCUUCCUUACGUGGCGCCAUCGGUGGGGAUAUCCCCCAAUCUGCUGGAAGGAGUCCGCGCCAAAUCAGAGCCCAAAAUUCGCGCCAAAUCCACGCUGGAUGAGGUGGUGGGGAGAUCCCCCAAUCUGCCCCCCUUCUACACGCCUACCAUGAACGGGAAUCCCUACCAUCGAGAAACCCCCUACCCAUCCUCCAUAGACGGCGCCCUCCUACUAACCACUGAAAAAUCCCUUCCACACGCCGACAACUUCAUCCUCCUCGCGUUUAAUCACAGCUCUGUUAGCACUGUUUUAUCAAGGUACGUCCAAUUCCUUCUAUUU